UCAGUAAUCGGAAAAAAAAAUGAAAAAAAAU
Molecule: small RNA, 31 nt
Filed under: Arabidopsis thaliana (thale cress)
Lineage: Eukaryota; Viridiplantae; Streptophyta; Magnoliopsida; Brassicales; Brassicaceae
Description: ATSL072720
Source: RNAcentral